AAACAAAUAGCUUAACCUAAUUAAAGCAUUACACUGAAGAUGUAAGUAUAGACUGUGUCUUUUGUUUA
This 68-nucleotide transfer RNA is filed under the name Hypselodoris apolegma. RNAcentral's name for it is "tRNA-Phe". Lineage: Eukaryota; Metazoa; Mollusca; Gastropoda; Nudibranchia; Chromodorididae. The record is from RNAcentral.